Molecule: ribosomal RNA, 400 nt
Filed under: uncultured bacterium
Lineage: Bacteria
Description: bacterial SSU rRNA
Rfam family: Bacterial small subunit ribosomal RNA
Source: RNAcentral
UGGGGAAUUUUGGACAAUGGGCGAAAGCCUGAUCCAGCCAUGCCGCGUGAGUGAAGAAGGCCUUCGGGUUGUAAAGCUCUUUCGGCCGGAACGAAAUCGCACGGGAUAACACCUCGGGUGGAUGACGGUACCGGAAGAAGAAGCACCGGCUAACUACGUGCCAGCAGCCGCGGUAAUACGUAGGGUGCAGGCGUUAAUCGGAAUUACUGGGCGUAAAGCGUGCGCAGGCGGCUUCUUAAGUCAGAUGUGAAAUCCCCGGGCUCAACUUGGGAACUGCGUUUGAAACUGGGAAGCUAGAGUGUGGCAGAGGGGGGUGGAAUUCCACGUGUAGCAGUGAAAUGCGUAGAUAUGUGGAGGAACACCGAUGGCGAAGGCAGCCCCCUGGGCCCGCACUGACGCU